RNAcentral lists this ribosomal RNA (484 nucleotides) under uncultured bacterium. RNAcentral describes it as "partial 16S ribosomal RNA". It matches the Rfam family "Bacterial small subunit ribosomal RNA", at positions 30 to 507 of the family's 1533-position model. The record is from RNAcentral.
AUUGAACGCUGGCGGCAGGCCUAACACAUGCAAGUCGAGCGGAUGAAGGGAGCUUGCUCCUGGAUUCAGCGGCGGACGGGUGAGUAAUGCCUAGGAAUCUGCCUGGUAGUGGGGGAUAACGUCCGGAAACGGGCGCUAAUACCGCAUACGUCCUGAGGGAGAAAGUGGGGGAUCUUCGGACCUCACGCUAUCAGAUGAGCCUAGGUCGGAUUAGCUAGUUGGUGGGGUAAAGGCCUACCAAGGCGGCGAUCCGUAACUGGUCUGAGAGGAUGAUCAGUCACACUGGAACUGAGACACGGUCCAGACUCCUACGGGAGGCAGAAGUGGGGACUAUUGGACAAUGGGCGAAAGCCUGAUCCAGCCAUGCCGCGUGUGUGAAGAAGGUCUUCGGAUUGUAAAGCACUUUACGUUGGGAGGAAGGGCAGUAAGUUAAUACCUUGCUGUUUUGACGUUACCAACAGAAUAAGCACCGGCUAACUUCGUG